GUUUAGAGUUAGAGAAUAAUUAGAAGAGAUAUUCUCUAUAGCCAUCAUGUUUUUGGUGUUUUCUUUUGAAAUCAAAUAAAGGUAAACCAGGUCUCUGUAAGAAGAGUCCGAAGUUAAUUUUGGACUAUAUUUUGUAGUGGGGGUGAGUGAGUGUUUAUAUUUCAAGCUUGAGUUUCUUGUCUUUUGGCAGAAUUAGAAAGAGAUAAAGAGUCGGUAGUUAUUUUGAAUAUAACAAAGAUUUAGGUGCUUGUGUUUGGAGAAAUUCUUGUUUUUUUGUUUGUACAGUUUUAUCCCUUUCUGUAAGCUUCUUGGUUUGUUGUGUGACUGGCUCACUUUCAAUUUAGAUAUGCAAAUGAUGUCUGGUGAUACUUUCUCCAUCCCUUCUUCCAUACCAGGGUUUGCUCAUCAAGAACAGAAUGCAAACCCUAACCCUAAAACUAAUCCUAAUCCUGUGCCCAAGAAGAAGAGAAAUUUGCCUGGAACACCAGAUCCAGAUGCUGAAGUUAUUGCUCUAUCUCCUAAGACUCUCAUGGCCACAAACCGAUUCAUUUGUGAAAUAUGCAAUAAAGGUUUCCAAAGAGACCAAAACUUGCAGCUUCACCGGAGAGGUCACAAUCUUCCAUGGAAGCUAAGGCAAAGGACCAAUAAAGAAGUCAUCAAAAAGAAAGUCUAUAUAUGCCCAGAAAAGACCUGCGUUCACCAUGACCCAUCUAGAGCUCUCGGGGAUCUCACCGGAAUAAAAAAGCAUUAUAGUAGGAAACAUGGAGAGAAGAAAUGGAAG
This 781-nucleotide unclassified non-coding RNA is filed under the name Hevea brasiliensis (rubber tree). Lineage: Eukaryota; Viridiplantae; Streptophyta; Magnoliopsida; Malpighiales; Euphorbiaceae. The record is from RNAcentral.